AGGUGAGGAGACACAGAGUGGAGGAGGUGAGGGGACACAGAGUGGGGGGUUUAAGGAGCAGACAGGUGAGGAGACACAGAGUGGAGGGUUUAAGGAGCAGACAGGUGAGGGGACACAGAGUGGGGGGUUUAAGGAGCAGACAGGUGAGCAGAUGGAGGUGGGGAAUGGGUCUAGU
Labrus bergylta (ballan wrasse) is the source of this 175-nucleotide non-coding RNA. Lineage: Eukaryota; Metazoa; Chordata; Actinopteri; Labriformes; Labridae. The record is from RefSeq and is a predicted model, not a curated record.